CAGCAGCCCUGGGUCCCGGGAGGCUGCUUCCUGGAAUGUUCCUGCUCCUGGGACAGGCCGGGGCCCGUCCAGGAUUUCGACUGCACAUACCUGGAGUGGCUGCGCGCCCGGGCUCCGAGACCCGGAGACGCGAAGGGACCUCAUGGCGACACACCCUGACUGUCCCCUGACCUGACCCUGCUGGCCCUCCAGGACUCGUGGCUCUGAAACCCAAGAUGGCUCAGCAGUGCAGCACUCCGAGGAGAAGCCUCCAGCCACAUGACCCCCUGCAGCUCGACCCAGCAGAAGUCUGGAAGGCACCUGUGUCACCCGCUCCAGCCCCACGCGACCUGCCAUGCUCACACUCUCUCUCUUGACCUUCAUACUUCCCCAUGACUCACAAGCUCACGAAACCGAAAAUAACAGCGAAGAUUCCUCA
This is a long non-coding RNA of Erinaceus europaeus (western European hedgehog), 418 nucleotides long. RefSeq lists it as uncharacterized. The transcript has 2 exons. The record is from RefSeq and is a predicted model, not a curated record. NCBI's taxonomy places the organism in Eukaryota, Metazoa, Chordata, Mammalia, Eulipotyphla, Erinaceidae.